UAAGGCUCUUCGGAGUACACGAGAGGCGGACGGCUGAGUAACGCGUAGGAACACACCCUGCAGUGAGGGAUAAGACACCGAAAGGUGUUCUAAUACCGCAUACGGUCUUCGGAUUAAAGCAUUUAUGCGCUGAAGGAGUGGCCUGCGUCAUAUUAGAUAGUUGGUGAGGUAAUGGCUCACCAAGUCGAUGAUGUGUAGCUGGUCUGAGAGGAUGAUCAGCCAGACUGGAACUGAGACACGGUCCAGACUCC
Molecule: ribosomal RNA, 251 nt
Filed under: uncultured Candidatus Saccharibacteria bacterium
Lineage: Bacteria; Candidatus Saccharimonadota
Description: partial 16S ribosomal RNA
Rfam family: Bacterial small subunit ribosomal RNA
Source: RNAcentral